GCUUACGGCCACACCGGCCUGAGUACGCCUGAUCUCGUCCGAUCUCGGAAGCUAAGCAGGAUCGGGCCUGGUUAGUACUUGGAUGGGAGACCGCCUGGGAAUACCAGGUGCUGUAAGCU
Oncorhynchus mykiss (rainbow trout) is the source of this 119-nucleotide ribosomal RNA. Lineage: Eukaryota; Metazoa; Chordata; Actinopteri; Salmoniformes; Salmonidae. The record is from Ensembl.